Molecule: ribosomal RNA, 796 nt
Filed under: Craterellus cornucopioides
Lineage: Eukaryota; Fungi; Basidiomycota; Agaricomycetes; Cantharellales; Hydnaceae
Description: eukaryotic LSU rRNA
Rfam family: Eukaryotic large subunit ribosomal RNA
Source: RNAcentral
GAGAUAAAGGAUUCCCUCAGUAACGGCGAGUGAAGAGGGAAGAGCUCAGUUUUGAAAUCUGGCAGUGAUUCACUGUCCGAGUUGUAAAUUGAAGAGAAUGUCAUCCACGCUGGACCACGUCUAAAUUGUAAUGAUCCACAGUCCUUUGAUGGAGUAUCAGAGAGGGUAAUAAUCCCGUCUUUAACGUGGACUGCCAGUGUUUCUGUGAUGCACUCUCUCAGAGUCGAGUAGUUUGGGAAUGCUGCUCUAAUGGGAGGUAAACUCCUUCUAAAGCUAAAUAUUGGCGAGAGACCGAUAGCGAACAAGUACCGUGAGGGAAAGAUGAAAAGAACUCUGAAAAGAGAGUCAAAUAGAACGUGAAAUUGCUGAAAGGGAAGCGUUUGGAGUCAGACGCGUCUUCAUGCAAUACAGCUCAGUGGCAGAGACUUGAGACAAGUUACUUGAAGACGGGCCAGCAUCACGAAGACCAUUGAAGAAGGGGUCAUGGAAUGUACCUCAGUGCUGAGUGAUUAUAGCCUUGAUUCAAAAGCAAUGUGUCCUUUGUGAGAGAUGGACCAGCAGACAACAGUUCAAUGCUUGAUUGACUGGCAUAAUGGCUCUAACGACCCGUCUUGAAACACGGACCAAGGAGUNUAACUUGUNUGCGAGUNUUAAAAGUGAUUGAAACUCUUAAUGCCCAUUGAAAGUGUUUUUGACUUGAAAUCCUNUNGGGGGGAGGCUUANUNCCCCCNNUUUUGUUAGUCUUUGACUAAAAAUUGGGNGGAAAACCNUNUUUUUNGGACCCCNAAAAUUGGUU